Molecule: long non-coding RNA, 417 nt
Filed under: Elaeis guineensis (African oil palm)
Lineage: Eukaryota; Viridiplantae; Streptophyta; Magnoliopsida; Arecales; Arecaceae
Description: long non-coding RNA (EGUI_LNC074821)
Source: RNAcentral
UUCUGCUUCAGGAAAUCAGCACAGUAUGCUAGUACUGCGCUGAUCCUUCUUUAAUGGUUGAUCAGGUGCCUUUUUCUUCUUGAUUUAGACUCUUCCAAAGAUGAAAAGUAGGAGGAGGAGUUUCAGAUCUGAGACACUCUCAGAAAACUCAAGAUAGAGGGAGAAAAGAUAUAAAAACAAACAACCCUAGAAGAAGACCCUCUUCUUCUUCUCCUUUCUCUCUAUCGACACCCUAUCUUGUGUCUAUUAUAUCUCCACGACCCAAAGGUCUUUUUCUCUGAUUUUUGGAUGGCCCAAAGGCCUCUCAAAUCUCUAUCUUCUUCAAAAAUUUUAUAAAGAAACCCAUUUUAUGAAGAGAAAUAUGAUAGAGUCCUUGUCUAGGUCAAAUACCUAGUCAAGGCUUAUCCAAACAUGGCA